CAAAAUAACCAUAUUUAAAAAAUUAACCCCCCCUCAAAAACCACCGCCCCACCCUGAGACGUAAUAAACGAUCGGUCCCUAACCAACUGACUUCUUGAUAAAGGAAAUUUGCUCGCAACGUUUUUUCUAUAUCUUUAGGUUGUUGGAUAACUCACUAUACACAGCGAUUUAUACUUUUGAUCUCAACCAACACUUGCUCACGAUUUUACCACAAGAUUGUCUUAUCCUAUAUAGUGUAUGUGUGUAGUGUUAAUUAGUACUUUUAG
Paramuricea clavata is the source of this 266-nucleotide non-coding RNA. The record is from the annotation of a GenBank genome assembly. NCBI's taxonomy places the organism in Eukaryota, Metazoa, Cnidaria, Anthozoa, Malacalcyonacea, Plexauridae.